Molecule: ribosomal RNA, 484 nt
Filed under: uncultured bacterium
Lineage: Bacteria
Description: partial 16S ribosomal RNA
Rfam family: Bacterial small subunit ribosomal RNA
Source: RNAcentral
AUUGAACGCUGGCGGCAGGCCUAACACAUGCAAGUCGAGCGGAUGAAGGGAGCUUGCUCCUGGAUUCAGCGGCGGACGGGUGAGUAAUGCCUAGGAAUCUGCCUGGUAGUGGGGGAUAACGUCCGGAAACGGGCGCUAAUACCGCAUACGUCCUGAGGGAGAAAGUGGGGGAUCUUCGGACCCCACGCUAUCAGAUGAGCCUAGGUCGGAUUAGCUAGUUGGUGGGGUAAAGGCCUACCUAGGCGACGAUCCGUAACUGGUCUGAGAGGAUGAUCAGUCACACUGGAACUGAGACACGGUCCAGACUCCUACGGGAGGCAGCAGUGGGGAAUAUUGGACAAUGGGCGAAAGCCUGAUCCAGCCAUGCCGCGUGUGUGAAGAAGGUCUUCGGAUUGUAAAGCACUUUAAGUUGGGAGGAAGGGCAGUAAGUUAAUACCUUGCUGUUUUGACGUUACCAACAGAAUAAGCACCGGCUAACUUCGUG